This 497-nucleotide ribosomal RNA is filed under the name uncultured bacterium. Its description in RNAcentral is "partial 16S ribosomal RNA". It matches the Rfam family "Bacterial small subunit ribosomal RNA", at positions 28 to 507 of the family's 1533-position model. The record is from RNAcentral.
GAUGAACGCUGGCGGCGUGCCUAAUACAUGCAAGUCGAGCGAACAGACGAGGAGCUUGCUCCUCUGACGUUAGCGGCGGACGGGUGAGUCACACGUGGAUAACCUACCUAUAAGACUGGGAUAACUUCGGGAAACCGGAGCUAAUACCGGAUAAUAUCUUGAACCGCAUGGUUCAAUAGUGAAAGACGGUUUUGCUGUCACUUAUAGAUGGAUCCGCGCCGCAUUAGCUAGUUGGUAAGGUAACGGCUUACCACGGCAACGAUGCGUAGCCGACCUGAGAGGGUGAUCGGCCACACUGGAACUGAGACACGGUCCAGGCUCCUACGGGAGGCAGCAGUAGGGAAUCUUCCGCAAUGGGCGAAAGCUUGACGGAGCGACGCCGCGUGAGUGAUGAAGGUCUUCGGAUCGUAAAACUCUGUUAUUGGGGAAGAACAAAUGUGUAAGGAGCUAUGCACGUCUUGACGGUACCUAAUCAGAAAGCCACGGCUAACUACGUG